AGCCAUACUCCUCCCUGCUUCCAUUGUUGUUGUUACUAGAAGAGAAAUUUGAGAUCUUUCACAGUUGUUCAAAGUAUGUGGUAUUUCAAACCUAGCUUGAAAUACGUUGACAUUCAUCUCCAGUUUGGGAGUAGGCCAGGGGAAGAGCUCAUAUGAUUUUUGAGGUCUAUUGUUGUGAAAUGUUAGAGCUGCUCACACAGGACUAAGUUUAUUACUUUCGCAGUAGGUUCAGUAGCUGAGAACUUUAACUCACAGGCAAGGACAAAGUUUUUGGCACUUAGUACAUGAUGAAUGAUAACAAGGAUAUUAUUUAUUAGACAUUUGUAAUGCCCUGGACAGGUUUCACUACUUUGUGUGGAUUAUUCUAUUUUAAUUCUCCCAACAAAUGCUUUCUCCCAAUUUUACAAAAGCUAAGACACAGGGAGAUUUAGUAACUUGCCCAAAAUCACAGAGCUACUAAUAAAUGGAUCUUAAGACUGAAACCCAAGCACUUUAUUGUAGUCCUUUUGUGUUUGUUGAGUGAAUCAUCAUAAUAAUCAUCAUUAUUAUUGUCCCUUUUUAAUAAAUGGAUUCUAAGAUCUGGACACUAAAUAUCUCAUAUUAUCCUGGUUUCAAUCCUACAAGACAAUUUUUUUUCUAUCUUUAUUUUACAAUGAACAGAGUGGCUGUUAGGCAGUAUUUUUGGAGCUUUAGUUCCUAGACAAGGAUUUGUGAGCAAGGGAUAUUUAUUUUGAAGGUGCUCAUAAGAAACGGGGUAGGACAGUGGGAAAGUGAAAACUGGAACGGAAUGAAGCCAGUGACUGGGAACAUAUCUAGCAGGUUUUGUUGUGGGAACCAGGAGUUAGAUCUCCUCAGGUAACUCUAGGAAACAAUGUAAAAUCUGCCUCCAAUUUCCCUCUUGGGUGGGUUAGAAACCUGGGGUACUUUUCUUCCAACUUCCUUUCAUUUCUGGAUAAAGACUGGU
RNAcentral lists this long non-coding RNA (964 nucleotides) under Homo sapiens (human). RNAcentral's name for it is "HSALNT0293685". The record is from RNAcentral. Lineage: Eukaryota; Metazoa; Chordata; Mammalia; Primates; Hominidae.